GGUCGGAGCUUUGUUGGAAAUGGUCAGAACCAAUUUAAUGAGGAAAAUGGUUCAACCCAGGAUAACGACUUCAGUGGAGGAAGACGUGGCAGAGGAGGCUUCCGUGAAGGUAUUUUAUAAAGUAAAGUUUCAUUUGGAAUGUGGCUUAACCCUAUUUA
Syngnathus acus (greater pipefish) is the source of this 158-nucleotide long non-coding RNA. RefSeq lists it as uncharacterized. The record is from RefSeq and is a predicted model, not a curated record. The transcript has 3 exons. NCBI's taxonomy places the organism in Eukaryota, Metazoa, Chordata, Actinopteri, Syngnathiformes, Syngnathidae.